This 253-nucleotide ribosomal RNA is filed under the name uncultured bacterium. RNAcentral's name for it is "partial 16S ribosomal RNA". It matches the Rfam family "Bacterial small subunit ribosomal RNA", at positions 524 to 776 of the family's 1533-position model. The record is from RNAcentral.
UACGUAGGCAGCAAGCGUUGUUCGGAAUUACUGGGCGUAAAGAGUGUGUAGGCGGUGUUCUAAGUCUGUUGUGAAAUCUCCCGGCUUAACUGGGAGGGUGCGGCGGAAACUGGAAUGCUAGAGGAUGGGAGAGGUAAGCGGAAUUCCUGGUGUAGCGGUGAAAUGCGUAGAUAUCAAGUGGAACACCAGUGGCGAAGGCGAGUCUCUGGACAUUUCCUGACGCUGAGGCACGAAAGCCAGGGGAGCAAACGGG